CCCUGCCCUUUGUACACACCGCCCGUCGCUACUACCGAUUGAAUGGUUUAGUGAGGCCUCGGGACUGGCGCGAACGGGUGCAAGUCUGUUCGCGCCGGGAACUUGGUCAAACUUGAUCAUUUAGAGGAAGUAAAAGUCGUAACAAGGUUU
RNAcentral lists this ribosomal RNA (150 nucleotides) under uncultured eukaryote. RNAcentral's name for it is "partial small subunit ribosomal RNA". It matches the Rfam family "Eukaryotic small subunit ribosomal RNA", at positions 1651 to 1802 of the family's 1831-position model. The record is from RNAcentral.